CAGCUCAUAGCGUAUAUUAAAGUUGUUGCAGUUAAAAAGCUCGUAGUUGAAUUUCGGGAUCAAAUUGUCGGUCGUGCCUCGGUACGUACUGGCGUUAUUGGUUCCUCCCUUCUGAAGAACCGCGAUGUCAUUAAUUUGGUGUCGCGGGGAAUCAGGACUGUUACUUUGAAAAAAUUAGAGUGUGUAAAAGCAGGCACAC
Molecule: ribosomal RNA, 199 nt
Filed under: uncultured Glomus
Lineage: Eukaryota; Fungi; Glomeromycota; Glomeromycetes; Glomerales; Glomeraceae
Description: partial small subunit ribosomal RNA
Rfam family: Eukaryotic small subunit ribosomal RNA
Source: RNAcentral